RNAcentral lists this ribosomal RNA (786 nucleotides) under uncultured bacterium. RNAcentral describes it as "bacterial SSU rRNA". It matches the Rfam family "Bacterial small subunit ribosomal RNA", at positions 8 to 796 of the family's 1533-position model. The record is from RNAcentral.
AGAGUUUGAUCAUGGCUCAGAACGAACGCUGGCGGCGUGCUUAACACAUGCAAGUCGAGUGCGCGGUUGUAGCAAUACAACUGGCGCACGGCGCACGGGUGCGUAACACGUGGGCAAUCUGCCCUUCGAUGGGGAAUAACUCCGGGAAACCGAAGCUAAUUCCGCAUAACAUUCCUUGGACCUCGGUUCGAGGACUCAAAGCCGUAAGGCGUCGAAGGAGGAGCCCGCGCACGAUUAGCUAGUUGGUAGGGUAACGGCCUACCAAGGCUUUGAUCGUUAGCUGGUCUGAGAGGAUGGCCAGCCACACUGGAACUGAGACACGGUCCAGACUCCUACGGGAGGCAGCAGUGGGGAAUCUUGCACAAUGGGCGAAAGCCUGAUGCAGCGACGCCGCGUGGGGGAUGAAGCAUUUCGGUGUGUAAACCCCUUUCGACCCGGACGAACGCCUCGCAAGAGGAGUGACGGUACGGGUAUAAGAAGCCCCGGCUAACUACGUGCCAGCAGCCGCGGUAAGACGUAGGGGGCCAGCGUUGUUCGGAAUUACUGGGUGUAAAGGGUUCGUAGGCGGUGUGGCAAGUUGGGAGUGAAAUCUCUGGGCUCAACCCAGAGGCUGCUUCCAAAACUGCUGUGCUUGAGUGUGGGAGAGGCGCGCGGAAUUGCAGGUGUAGCGGUGAAAUGCGUAGAUAUCUGCAGGAACACCCGUGGCGAAAGCGGCGCGCUGGACCACAACUGACGCUGAGGAACGAAAGCUAGGGGAGCAAACAGGAUUAGAUACCCUAGUAGUCC